Long non-coding RNA from Suncus etruscus (white-toothed pygmy shrew), 266 nucleotides. RefSeq lists it as uncharacterized. The transcript has 3 exons. The record is from RefSeq and is a predicted model, not a curated record. NCBI's taxonomy places the organism in Eukaryota, Metazoa, Chordata, Mammalia, Eulipotyphla, Soricidae.
CAUAAAGUAUUGCAUUAAGAUUUCCUCCCCUCUCUUUGUAGCUCAUGAUUUCCUGGAAGCUGGCUGUCCAUCAGGGUGUGUGUAAGAUGUGACGCUUGUGUUCCCCUGUGACUGAUUUGGUAUUAUGGAGAUGGGAUUUUAUAUAUGACCAAGAGCUGAAGAAUUGUGGCGAGUUAAAAAAUAAGCAACACAAAUAUCAAGAGAAUGUUAAGCGUUCAUAAUGGAGCUACUGACUAUUGGAAGGAGGAGAUUCUGAAGAUAGGGAG